Molecule: unclassified non-coding RNA, 324 nt
Filed under: Hevea brasiliensis (rubber tree)
Lineage: Eukaryota; Viridiplantae; Streptophyta; Magnoliopsida; Malpighiales; Euphorbiaceae
Source: RNAcentral
GUUCAAGCAUCAUUUAAAUCUAAUACCAGCUAAAACUCCAAAAUUAAAUUUAAAAGUACAAACCCACAAAUGAACUCAUUAACUCAGAUAACACAAACAUGCGAAUCACUGAAUCAGUAGCAUUAAUUAAAUUUAGCAUAUGAAGAUAAACCAAGAGAAAAAUUAGUGAUUGAAUCCAUGAAUACAUGACUACAGCCAAAGACCAUUUGCACUAAUAAUGCUAAUACAACCAUUAAUCAACUUCACAUCUUUAAGGUUCGUUAAAGUGAACCUGCAAAACUUUAUUGUCCCUUAACUAUUUCCUUUUUUCCCCCCUUCAUCUCA